GGUAACGAACAGGGUAGUUUAGAAAUUAUCUAACAGAACUACUGUUCUAGAUACUGUGCAGUAACUGUUAUGUUGUUAAUAUGUCCAUCGAAACCUGUGUAGUAAGCCAGGGGUUCUUGUGCAAGAACACAAACACAAACGAUCAUCCACUAACAGACCAAAUAAAGCUUAUUGAUUUCUCCUCCUUGUGUCUUACACAAUGCGUGUUCCACAUGGUGCUAUAUAUAGGCAAUAGGAGGCUUAUCUCAAUGGAACAGGCCACGAAAUCCGGGUGCAAUCUGUCAAAGCUCCACAAACCAGCGCAGGUGCAUUUCAAAGUGUGCACAGGCCUGAUGAGAUCUCGAGCAGAGUGGCAGUGCCCAGCUGUGAGCCACAAGCCAGAAAGCGGCCGUUAUCCUGCACGCGCAUGCUGCACAGAGCCUCGUCACACACCUGUCAUAAGCAGUACAAACUUCAUCACUUGGUAGACAUAUACAGUCAUUAAGAAGUCCCAUACAUCUAAAGUGCCGUCCAUUUUGACCGUGAAGAAGACUGAAGGUCUAACAGGGCUCCAGCAUCCAUCUGAUAGGUUGCAUAUCAUGGGCAGUGGUGGCUCAACGGUUCCUGACCAGAAGGUGCCACUGUUGGGCCCUUGAGCAAGGCCCUUAACCCUCGCUGCUCCAGGGGCGCUGUAUCAUGGCUGACCUGCGCUCUGACCCCAGCUUCCUAACAAGCUGGGAUAUGCGAAGAAAAGAAUUUCACUGUGCUGUAAUGUAUAUGUGACAAAAUAAAUGUUUCUUCUUCUAUCCAUUACUCAAAUAUCAAUGUUACUGUUUUUUUUCAUGGAGACAGAGAAAACAAGGAAGUAUGUAGCCUGGAUACCAAAUAUAGCAGUGUGAUGUUAAACAUUUCAUGAUCAUACCUUGUCUUUGGUACAUCUUCACUGAUAAGAUUAAAUUAUAAAAUCCAUACCAGUGGAUUACUAUUAAAGCAGACUCCAGGAGGCAGUUUUAAGUGGCUUCACUAGUCUGUGUAGU
Pangasianodon hypophthalmus (striped catfish) is the source of this 1016-nucleotide long non-coding RNA. RefSeq lists it as uncharacterized. The record is from RefSeq and is a predicted model, not a curated record. Lineage: Eukaryota; Metazoa; Chordata; Actinopteri; Siluriformes; Pangasiidae. The transcript has 4 exons.